Molecule: long non-coding RNA, 827 nt
Organism: Vitis riparia (riverbank grape)
Lineage: Eukaryota; Viridiplantae; Streptophyta; Magnoliopsida; Vitales; Vitaceae
Exons: 4
Source: RefSeq, a predicted model, not a curated record
AGGAGUCCGGACAAUGUCUCCUCCUCUGACUGUUUGCCACCUGGAAAAAGUUCAUAGAUGUGGACAGGUGGAAAUGAACAGGAAUAUCUUAAUUAUCAACCCACCUCCCAUCUCCAUGGAUUGAAGGCAAGGGGAUCUUCAUAUUUUGCUGGGUUCAGAUGCACAGCUGGCGGACAGACCAUAAUCGCCCAACCUGCUGGAAUGGUAUAUCCUGCAUCAAUUCCAAAUUGAAUAGGCAUGUCAAAAUGGGGUAGUGAGGCAGUAAGCAUGACUUUCUCCAAAGAGCAGCCCAGAUAACAAUGGAGAUCAUCACAAUAAUAAUAGGUUCCAGGUUACUCGAGGAUGAGAGGAUUGAGGAGGAAGUUGUUCUUCUUGUCUGUGCCGUGCGCGUGUGGAAUGGAUUAAUAACUAUUAGCAGCAAUGACUUGGUCAAAUGAGCAGCCGUCUAAGACUAUUAUUGAGAUAAACCUUCAGAAGGAUGCAAAUUUGGGAUGAGAUCAGCAACCUUAAGAUUUGAUUCAGGAUUAUUUGGAAGGCAGUUGCAUCAGUAGCAGACUCCAGAAUGCAACUUUUUAGCUUUCAAGAUGAAGCAUGCAUUCUCAAGAAGGCAAAAUGGCCUCAAAUCUCUCUCUCCACACUACGAAAAUGUUACUAGGAAGGUGGUUCUUCCAUUGAUUGAAUUAGUGGUAUGAGUGUAACAGAGGGAUCAGUGUAAGAGGAUGCCCUUUCUUGUUUGCAGCUGUUCUUUGUUUUCCUUGCUUUUAUUGGAAGAGUUGUCUGAAUGUUUCCAGUCUAAUAGUAUUUUACCCCCUUUUAAGAUGGUUUUU